Molecule: ribosomal RNA, 488 nt
Filed under: uncultured bacterium
Lineage: Bacteria
Description: partial 16S ribosomal RNA
Rfam family: Bacterial small subunit ribosomal RNA
Source: RNAcentral
UUGAACGCUGGCGGCAGGCCUAACACAUGCAAGUCGAACGGUAACAGGAAGCAGCUUGCUGCUUCGCUGACGAGUGGCGGACGGGUGAGUAAUGUCUGGGAAGCUGCCUGAUGGAGGGGGAUAACUACUGGAAACGGUAGCUAAUACCGCAUAAUGUCGCAAGACCAAAGAGGGGGACCUUCGGGCCUCUUGCCAUCGGAUGUGCCCAGAUGGGAUUAGCUUGUUGGUGGGGUAACGGCUCACCAAGUCGACGAUCCCUAGCUGGUCUGAGAGGAUGACCGGCCACACUGGAACUGAGACACGGUCCAGACUCCUACGGGAGGCAGCAGUGGGGAAUAUUGCACAAUGGGCGCAAGCCUGAUGCAGCCAUGCCGCGUGUAUGAAGAAGGCCUUCGGGUUGUAAAGUACUUUCAGCGGGGAGGAAGGGAGUAAAGUUAAUACCUUUGCUCAUGGACGUUACCCGCAGAAGAAGCACCGGCUAACUCCGU